GAAAAUCCUAGCAAUUAUUAGGCAGUUAACUAAACUAAAUAUAUCCUAAAAGGACUAUAUGUCCGUCCAGUCUGAGUUGAGUACAAGAAACAUGCGGAGGUCACACCUUGGCUCACCCGAUUAGCCACGUGUGGGAUACCAUAUUGUGAUUGGUAAGAUUUUUCCACCUUUUAAUGGGGUGAUUGGUGGCUAAUCGGGUGCUUGACCUCAACCCAAUCUCUCUCCAGUCGCAGGACAUCAAAGGACAGAGAAUACUUCAAAAUGAGAAGAUCCUGCCAUGGAAAAGAAAACUGGGUGGACAUAAAGUGGAAAGGAGGGGAAAUAACUCACACCAUGCAGCAGGACACCUUCAGCUGUGGGGUCUUUGUAAUGCAGUUGUGUGGGACAGCCAUAUGUUCCAAGUUCAAAGCCAACAACUGCUUCAUGUGUGCCACUGAUAAAGAACCUGGAUGUGGCCCAAAGACUGACUGGAUUGAAUGUUUUGCAUGCCAACGGUGGUUCCAUGUGCUGUGCCUAGGAAUGAAGACAAAAGAGUUUAGUGUGAAGAACACAAACUGGAAGUGCUGUCUUUGUUGUUGAAAAUGUAUGUUAUACUCUAUCCACACUGAAGAGGCUCUGAAAUGUACAUCAACCAGGGAUAAAGAGAAAGUUAACACUG
Molecule: non-coding RNA, 658 nt
Organism: Salmo salar (Atlantic salmon)
Lineage: Eukaryota; Metazoa; Chordata; Actinopteri; Salmoniformes; Salmonidae
Source: RefSeq, a predicted model, not a curated record